UAUCCAUUCUAAAUGUCAUAGUUUGCACCUACUAACCCCAAAAGACUUGUUUUAUUUUGGUUUACCUAGUAUAUCUCUCAGUUUUACCCUGAGAAAAUAAUAAUAAUUGUGAUAGAAGAGAGUAUUAUGGAGAAGCCAUUCGCCAGGUAAAGCGCUAAAAUACAUGACUUUAAUUCAAAUACAUCUAGAGAGCAGUUUUAGAUUUACAGGAAAAUUGUGAAUGUCAUUCAGAAAGUUUCCACAUACACCACACAGUUUGCCCUAUUAUUACAUUUUAUAUUGUGGUGGAUAUCUGUGAGAACUAAAGGACUGAUAUGGAUCCCCUAUAUUUUUUUUAACAUUUUAGCCGCACCCUCAGCACAUGGAAGUUCCCGGGAUCCAAGCUGCAGCUGCGACCUCUGCUAUAGUUUUCAUCUACGCUGGAUCCUUAACCCAGGGCACCACAGAGGAACUCCAUGGAGCCAUUCCUACUGGCUGAAGUCCAUACUCUUUUUGAAUAGCCUUAGUCUUCCCUAAUAUCCCUUUUCUGUCCCAGGAUCCCAUCUAAAGUCACAUUUGGUCUCCUGGUCUCCCUGGCUCUUCUCUUCUGUGAGCUUCUCAGUCUACCCUGGUAGGUUGUGUUGUCACAUUCUGCAUCCCAUCCCAGGAAUCUAGCAUGGCAUCUCCAUCUUCAACAUGAACCACGGAAGUAAGAACCUUAAGGAUCUUUAUUCAGCAGACGAGGAAACUGAGGCACAGAGCGUUUAGGUCGCUCGAGGCUCAGCAGCGUCUAAGGAGUGGAGGUGGAACCUCAGGUCAUAUUUUUUUUGUCUUUUAAAUGAUUUUUAUUCUUUCCAUUAUAGCUGGUUUACAGUGUUCUGUCAGUUUCUACUGUACAGCAGAGUGACCCAUUCAUACAUACAUUUAUACAUUCUUUUUCUCACAUUCUCUUCCAUCAGGCUCCAUCACAAGUGACUAGAUAUAGUUCCUAGUACUAUAUGGCAGAAUCUCAUUGCUUAUCCAUUCCAAAGGCAAUAGUUUGCAUCUAUCAACCCCAGAUUCACAGUCCAUCCCACUCCCUCCCCCUCCCCCUUGUCAAACACAAGCCUGUUCUCCGAGUCCAUGAGUUUCUUUUCCGUAGAAAGGUUCAUUUAUGCCAUAUAUUAGAUUCCAGAUAUAAGUGAUAUCAUAUGGUAUUUGUCUUUCUCUUUCUGACUUAUUUCACUUAAUAUGAGUCUCUAGUUCCAUCCACGUUGCUGCAAAUGGCAUUAUUUUGUUCUUUUUUUUGGCUGAGUAAUAUUCCAUUGUGUAUAUGUCCCACAUCUCUUUAAUCCAUUCAUUUGUCGAUGGACAUUGAAGUUGUUUCCAUGUCUUGGCUAUAGUGAAUAGUGCUGCAAUGAACAUACAGGUGCAUGAAUAUUUUUCAUUUUUUUAGGUCAUAUUCAUGUUUCCUAAAUUGGAGAUUAAUAGUCUCUUUAAAAAGGUAAACCCCAAUUCCCUUUUUAAAAGACACACCCAAAGACAAUGCUUACAAACAGAGGGCGGGCUGGAGGUGGAGGUGUGUGGUUGGAGGAGAAGGACCACCGGAGCCUCCCCCCAUCCCACCCCUGGAAGUGACACUCAGCCAUGUCCUCUCUGCCAUGUCCCAGAGAGAGGGCCCUCGCACACCGCCAAGGCAGGAGAUGACCAGGACAGUGCAUGGUUUCCCUGGGUGUCCGAGUCCCGGGAGGGUCCAAGCUGACUUAGUAAGGGAUGUGUGCUUUCAAGGCAGGUGCUCUAUUUGCCUUGCCCUGACUUACUAGGAUUUUCCAGAGAAGCAGAAGCAACAGGAUGUGUACACACACACAAACACACACAAUCUUCGUCUCUCUGAGACCACACUCAUAAAGGCAUGGGGGAGUCAUUCUUCAGCAGGGACUGGUUCAUUGCCCAUGGGCUCUGGGAAGCCCCACACCUGCAGACUGCACACUUGGGAGACCGUGGUGCCAGGGGAGUGGGGGCCAAGGCCAUCAGCCAGAGGGUCCCAUCUGGCUUGGGAAGCAGGAUUCUGUUCUUCUCAGGCCUUCCGCUGAUGGCAUGGGGCCCUCCUACAGAGGGAGGCACUUGGCUUUACCAGAGUCACCAGUUUACAGGUUGACCUCAUCCCUCAGUGCCCUCCAAGCUGACCAUUAAAUCCCCCACUGCCCUGGAGGUGGCUGAGCCCUGUCCUUCCAGCGGACAACUGUGAGGGAGAAGGACCCCCUUUAGGAAUGCCAAGCAAAGAGACCCCAUUUCGGUGGUGUUAGUGCACCUGUGAGUCAAAGACCCCACAAAGGUCUAUGCGAAGGAAGAAAGUGCUUUUCAAAAAAACAAGCAACUUCACGACCUGCCUACGAGGCUGUGGCUUCUGAUCUGAGCAGACAAGGGGAUUAUUUACUAAACAGAAUAUAUGGACACAUCAAUGAGACAGCCAGUCUUUUGUUUUUUGCUUUUUCAGGGCUGCACCUGCAGCAUAGGGGGGUUCCCAGGCUAGAAGUCAAAUCAGAGCUGUGGCUAACGAUCUACACCACAGCCACAGGAACUCCAGAUCUGAGCUGCAUCUGUGACCUACACCACCGCUCUCGGCAAUGCUGGAUCCAUAACCCACUGAGUGAGGCCAGGGAUCAAACCUGCAACCUCAUGGAUGCUAGUCGGAUUUGUUCCGCACCACAACGGGAACUCCGAGACAGCCAGUCUUCACAAGGUAAGCUAUGAUUGCAAGAACAGUGUCAUUGCUUUUGCCUCCCUUGAGAUGGCUUCCCGGGGACGAGUGGUCAUGCCGGCAGCUCGCCAGCUGCCCCGUGCUCUCCUGUGCCCUCGAAGAUCAAAGUCUGCCCUGAGACUGCCCACAGCAGUUUGCGUGGACUCACUCAUUGGAGGAUUGGUGGACAUGUUAUUGAAAUGUCCCCACAAUGCAGGUGAGGCUGACAACCUGGUUUUCUCAGAGGCAGUGUGGCCUCCAGGGGGAUCAGUUCAUGGUUUCUGAGUGAAUGAAGUUAUUAGAGACAGUUACAUCCAAACCUCCAUCCUGAAUGAAGGCAGAAGCAGGCUGAGCUCAGAAUAGGAGGUGCCCUUCAGAAUUCCCUGGGCCUUUUUCAGCUUCUAGGAGACUUAGAAUUUCAACUUCCAGCACAGCUUAGAAUUGGCAACUGGCUUUAUUUUUUUCAUUUUUAUUUUAUUCUUUUCUUUUUAGUUUUUUACAGCCCAGGGGUUGAAUCGGAGCUGCAGCUGCCAGCCUACACCAUAGCCACAGCAACGCUGGAUGCUUAACCCACUGAGCGAGGCCAGGGAUCCAACCCACAUCCUCACAGACGCUAUGUUGAGUUCUUAACCCACUGAGCUACAACAGGAAUUCCCUAUUAUUAUUAUUUUUUAAUUAAAGUAUAGUUGAGGAGUUCCCGUCAUGGCUCAGCAGGUUAAGAAUCUGACUAGUACCUAUGAAGAUGUGGGUUCAAUACCUGGCCUUGCUCAGUGGGUUAAGGAUCCUACGUUGCCACAAGCUGCUGUGUAGUUUGCAGAUGCAGCUUGGAUCCCGCUUGGCUGUGGCUGUGGUGUAGGCUGGCAGCUAUAGCUCGGAUUCGCUCCCUAGCCUGGGAACCUCCACAUGCUGCGGGUAUGGCCCUAAAAAGAUGAAAUAACUAACUAACUAACUAAAUUAAUUAAUUAAAAUACAGUGGAUUUACAAGGUGUGCCAAUUUCUGCUGGACAGCAAGGUGACCCAUCAUUCCUUUUCUUCUAUGACAUUUGAUUAUCAUUUGCCAUUUCUUGGGCCACUUAUUUAUUUAUUUAUUUAUUUAUUUAUUGUCUUUUUUAGGGCCACACCCACGGCAUGUGAAGGUUCCCAGGCUAGGGGUUGAAUCCUAGCUGUAGCUGCCAGCCUACGCCAGAGUCACAGCAAUGCGGGAUCCAAGCCAUGUCUGCGACCUACACCACAGUUCAUGGCAACACCAGACUCUUAACACACUGAGAAAGGCCAGGGAUCGAACCUGCAACCUCAUGGUUCCUAGUUGGAUUCGUUAACCACUGCGCCACGAAGGGAACUCUGACAAUUGAUUAUAUUGAUCAAUGAUAAUAAUUAUCGAUUUCUUUUUGGAUUUUAUGUUAAUAGUGUUUCCAAACACUCACAAAAGUAGGGGAGAAUUCAAUGAAGGUGCCCAGCACCUGCUUGGACAACUCUCAUUGCCAGUCUAGAUUCGUGUAUAAACUCUCCUGCACCCUUCCCCUUCCCCAACUCCCGCAGAAGCAUUUCAAAGCAGAUCCCAGGUGUAGCAUCACCUUAUUUGUAAAUACCGCAGUAUGUUCCUUUAACAGGUGAUAUCUUACAAUGAAACUAUAAUAGCAUUUUUACACCCAACAGAACUGAAAAUAAUUCCUUAGGAUGAUCGUAUACCCAGUGUGGGUGAAAAUCUCUAAUUUUCUCAAAAAUGUCUUUCUGGAUUUGGUUGAUUUGAAUGAGGGCCCCCAAGGCUACUACGUGGUCUAGGUUGGUGUGUUUCUCAGUUUUUUCCCACAUGAGCCUCUGCUGCAUCUCCAUCUCCUGCCCCCACCUCUUGGCCUCCUAUGGGCUCCUGGGCGGGGUGGGGACUCCGCAGAGGAGACGGGACCAUGUUCUGCACUGGGAGGGCAUCUUCCAGGCACUGCCACUUGUGCUUGGGGAUCAGAUCUGGAGGCCUGGUGAGAAGGAAGCACUUUCUCCCAUGUUUCCGGCAAGUAGGAGAGCUCGGGUUGUCUCGCGUGCACCCCUGGCCAAACACCAGAGCCACCUGUUACCUGCCUGCAUGGGACCAUGUCUGCGCCCUGAGUUUAAACGUGGUCGGCCUGCCCAGGCUUCUCCUUCAAGGGUUUUUACAGUCACUGAGGACAGUUGCCUGGAUCCGUUGUCUCCUUAGGGACCACGGAGGGGUGAAUUUCUAGUCCUGUCACUGCUUCAUUCUUUAAUAACUAGAGUUCUUCCUAGAAAGAAUUUUCCACUGUGACCUGUACGGAUACUUGAAAUAUGUUUGCAUGGAAAAUGGAAGAUGAGGGCUGGAUUCUUUCCUUUUAUUUUUCAGUUGUUAAAAUAAUGAGGUGAUACCUCAGCCAUUUCUGAGAAGGACCAAUUCCAGUGAUUUUCCUCUCAGAGCAUUAGGAAUGCAGGGGAUUUUAUGGAUUUGAUAUGUUUUAAUUCAUUGCAAUUUAUUUUCAUUAUUUUUAAUCUUAUGCUCAGAACAACUCACCUUUUGGUUUGUUUAUUUUUUUAGGGCCGCACCCACGGCAUAUGGAGGUUCCCAGGCUAGGGGUUGAAUCAGAGCUGCAGCUGCCGGCCUACACCACAGCCACAGCAACACCAGAUCCCAGCCACGUCUUUGACCUACACCACAGCUCACGGCAAUGACGGAUUCUUAACCACCUGAGUUUGGCCAGGGAUGGAACCCAUGUCCUCAAGGAUACUAGUCGGGUUCAUUUCCACGGUGCCACGACGGGAACUCCCAGAACAUGUCAUCUUGAUUGAUGCAACUCUUUCAGGCUGAGUCCUUGAUGAAACUUUGUGGUCAUUGGCAGCCUUAUGCUUUCUGGCCAAAGGAGCUGUUUGCUCUUAUCUUGAAGACUUCCUUGGGUUUGAAGCACCGUUCUUGUCAGGAUCAGAUGGUCCUCAGAAGCCACCAUUGCGUGUGAGCUUUGCCAAAUGCUCCAGAUCGUCACUCCGUCUGUCUAUGUGGCCUUUACGGUGAUCGCAGCUAGGAAAUAGGUCUGUAUUAUAAGAAUAAGAAACAUAAAUUCUGAACCCAUAGCAACAUUUCCAAUUCAAAUUUUAAGAUGAUAGAAAUUUUACCUGUUAUUGAUUUUCUACUUAUACCUUUCUUCUCUUCACUAAAAAUCUUCCUCUGUAACUUUAUUAACAUAAUUGCUCAUUUAUUUCAUAAUUAAAAAAAAUCAUCUGCAUAACUCAGGGUUUGCUCAAAUGUGUAGGAAUUUCAAAAUAAUAUCAUCAUUAUUAUUAGUGGCUAUAACCGCUUACUGUGUUUGAAAUCUCUGUGUGUUUUGUCCUCGGAAUAUAUUGCAGUAAAAUGAUGGCAUUUCCAAGUCAGCGAAAUGAUUUCUUCUCUUUAUGGUGUGGUCACUAACUUGUUUCAUUGAAUUUUUGGUUUGACUUUAUUUUGGUUUUGGAUGGUGGUGGGGUGGGAGAGGGCCAGGCAGGCAGGUGGGUCCCAGGUCACCUCUGUUAGGGUCCCCAUCCUCCAAGUCCCCUCUGGGAACAGCUCGGGCUUCACCUCCUUGCUCCCCUCCAGACCCCCAGGGGACGCACCAGAAAGGUUUGGGGAGAGGCCUCUGUGUGGGUCAGUACUUUCCCGUUCUGCUCACGCACAGCCCUGGCUAAACUGACCCUAAGUUAUACUUCAGGUCAGAUACUAAGGUUGAUCCUAAGUUCAAACCCAAACCCAGGUCAGCUGGGAAUCCCAAGUUUUCACACAGCAUCGGAUACUUAAAAGUGGCCUGAAUCCGGGUCUCUGAAUGCCCAAGAGCACCCCCUCUUCUGGAUGGUGCCUAGUCUCCCAGCCCCUGGUCGACACGAACUGAAGGUGAUUCAGAAUAUCUGCUCCAUCCCGGACACACCUCGCGGGCCUGGGUACCAGUUGGUGUUGCUCUUCCUGCUCCUCUGCUGAGGGUUGUGGCAUGGGUGACACUGCCCUCUGCUCUCCUUCUCGUCCUGGAGGGCUGCUGGUCUUGGAGGAGCAGAAGGAGGGGCCCUCACCUCCUCCUUCCUACCUCAUCCCACCACGUUCUGUCUGGAGGGCUGAGGCUCUUCUGUUCGGUUGCCCCAAUAUGUCAUAAAUACUGCCCAGUCCUGGGGCUGCAGGAGUUCCUCCCAGAGGCCCAGGGCAUCCAGCCCCAGUGCUCUGGGGCCCUCUCCGGGCACCAAAAUUGAUCUUCUGAAGGCCUUACCCAGCCAGUGGAGAGGGUGGGCAGUCAGUGCCUCAAGAUCACGCAGAGGGUGCUAUUAAAGCUGUUUUAGGAGUUCCCGUUGUGGCUCAGUGGUGAUUAACCCGACUAGGAAUCAUGAGGUUGCAGUUUCGAUCCUUGACCUUGCUCAGUAGGUUAAGGAUCUGGCAUUAUAGGUUGCAGACGCAGCUCGGAUCUGGUGUUGCUAUGUCUGUGGUGUAGGCCAGGAGCUACAGCUCCGAUUUGACCCUUAGCCUGGGAACUUCCAUAUACUGCAGGUGCAGCCCUAAAAAGAAAAAAAAAAAA
This 7224-nucleotide long non-coding RNA is filed under the name Sus scrofa (pig). Its description in RNAcentral is "lncRNA (ENSSSCG00050054519.1)". Lineage: Eukaryota; Metazoa; Chordata; Mammalia; Artiodactyla; Suidae. The record is from RNAcentral.